AAUGGCCAUCAAAUAUUGCAAAUAGACCAAGUUCAUUUUCAUCAACUUGUUUAAACUGUGCAAAAACAUAAUCUUCCAUGGUGUGAUGCGAUUUUCCCUCAACCAUGUGAUACCCAUGGGUUAUGUUCUUCGACAUCUUACUCUUACCUCUUCCGGUAUCUGACGAACUUAAACCAACCUUUUCCUUAAUUUUGUCGAUGAUUUCUUUGCCUCCAGUCAUGAUGCAAAAUUAAUA
This 235-nucleotide unclassified non-coding RNA is filed under the name Hevea brasiliensis (rubber tree). The record is from RNAcentral. Lineage: Eukaryota; Viridiplantae; Streptophyta; Magnoliopsida; Malpighiales; Euphorbiaceae.